RNAcentral lists this ribosomal RNA (495 nucleotides) under uncultured bacterium. RNAcentral describes it as "partial 16S ribosomal RNA". It matches the Rfam family "Bacterial small subunit ribosomal RNA", at positions 28 to 507 of the family's 1533-position model. The record is from RNAcentral.
GAUGAACGCUGGCGGCGUGCCUAAUACAUGCAAGUAGAACGCUGAAGGAGGAGCUUGCUCUUUCCGGAUGAGUUGCGAACGGGUGAGUAACGCGUAGGUAACCUGCCUGGUAGCGGGGGAUAACUAUUGGAAACGAUAGCUAAUACCGCAUAACAGUAGAUAUUGCAUGAUAUUUGCUUGAAAGGGGCAAUUGCUCCACUACCAGAUGGACCUGCGUUGUAUAGCUAGUUGGUGAGGUAACGGCUCACCAAGGCGACGAUACAUAGCCGACCUGAGAGGGUGAUCGGCCACACUGGGACUGAGACACGGCCCAGACUCCUACGGGAGGCAGCAGUAGGGAAUCUUCGGCAAUGGACGGAAGUCUGACCGAGCAACGCCGCGUGAGUGAAGAAGGUUUUCGGAUCGUAAAGCUCUGUUGUAAGAGAAGAACGAGUGUGAGAGUGGAAAGUUCACACUGUGACGGUAUCUUACCAGAAAGGGACGGCUAACUACGUG